AAGUGAAAUCGAGUAGGACGGAGCACGAGAAACUUUGUCUGAACAUGGGGGGACCAUCCUCCAAGGCUAAAUACUACUGACUGACCGAUAGUGAACCAGUACCGUGAGGGAAAGGCGAAAAGAACCCCGGAGAGGGGAGUGAAAUAGAACCUGAAACCGUAUGCGUACAAGCAGUGGGAGCCUACUUGUUAGGUGACUGCGUACCUUUUGUAUAAUGGGUCAGCGACUUAUAUUCAGUGGCAAGCUUAACCGUAUAGGGUAGGCGUAGCGAAAGCGAGUCUUAAUAGGGCGUUUAGUCGCUGGGUAUAGACCCGAAACCGGGCGAUCUAUCCAUGAGCAGGUUGAAGGUUAGGUAACACUGACUGGAGGACCGAACCCACUCCCGUUGAAAAGGUAGGGGAUGACUUGUGGAUCGGAGUGAAAGGCUAAUCAAGCUCGGAGAUAGCUGGUUCUCCUCGAAAGCUAUUUAGGUAGCGCCUCAUGUAUCACUCUGGGGGGUAGAGCACUGUUUCGGCUAGGGGGUCAUCCCGACUUACCAAACCGAUGCAAACUCCGAAUACCCAGAAGUGCCGAGCAUGGGAGACACACGGCGGGUGCUAACGUCCGUCGUGAAAAGGGAAACAACCCAGACCGCCAGCUAAGGUCCCAAAGUUGUGGUUAAGUGGUAAACGAUGUGGGAAGGCUUAGACAGCUAGGAGGUUGGCUUAGAAGCAGCCACCCUUUAAAGAAAGCGUAAUAGCUCACUAGUCGAGUCGGCCUGCGCGGAAGAUGUAACGGGGCUCA
This 783-nucleotide ribosomal RNA is filed under the name marine sediment metagenome. RNAcentral's name for it is "LSU rRNA". It matches the Rfam family "Bacterial large subunit ribosomal RNA", at positions 400 to 1184 of the family's 2925-position model. The record is from RNAcentral.